AACAUCGCGCACCUGCGGGAACCUGCGGAGGGAUCAUUACCGAGUGAGGGCCCUCUGGGUCCAACCUCCCACCCGUGUUUAUCGUACCUUGUUGCUUCGGCGGGCCCGCCGCAAGGCCGCCGGGGGGCGUCUGUCCCCGGGCCCGCGCCCGCCGAAGACACCUGUGAACGCUGUAUGAAGAUUGCAGUCUGAGCGAAAAGCUAAAUCGUUAAAACUUUUAGCAACGGAUCUCAGAUCGGA
This 240-nucleotide unclassified non-coding RNA is filed under the name soil metagenome. RNAcentral's name for it is "partial contains 5.8S ribosomal RNA, internal transcribed spacer 2, and large subunit ribosomal RNA". The record is from RNAcentral.